This 616-nucleotide ribosomal RNA is filed under the name uncultured Legionella sp. RNAcentral's name for it is "bacterial SSU rRNA". It matches the Rfam family "Bacterial small subunit ribosomal RNA", at positions 242 to 849 of the family's 1533-position model. Lineage: Bacteria; Pseudomonadati; Pseudomonadota; Gammaproteobacteria; Legionellales; Legionellaceae. The record is from RNAcentral.
UAGCUAGUUGGUAGGGUAAGGGCCUACCAAGGCGACGAUCGGUAGCUGGUCUGAGAGGAUGGCCAGCCACACUGGAACUGAGACACGGUCCAGACUCCUACGGGAGGCAGCAGUGGGGAAUAUUGGACAAUGGGGGGAACCCUGAUCCAGCAAUGCCGCGUGUGUGAAGAAGGCCUGAGGGUUGUAAAGCACUUUCAGUAGGGAGGAGGAUUUGGAGGUUAAGAGCUAUCAAAUUGGACGUUACCUACAGAAGAAGCACCGGCUAACUCCGUGCCAGCAGCCGCGGUAAUACGGAGGGUGCGAGCGUUAAUCGGAAUUACUGGGCGUAAAGGGUGCGUAGGUGGUUGGCUAAGUUAUCUGUAAAAUCCCUGGGCUUAACCUGGGCAGGUCAGAUGAUACUGGUUGACUCGAGUAUGGGAGAGGGUAGUGGAAUUUCCGGUGUAGCGGUGAAAUGCGUAGAGAUCGGAAGGAACACCAGUGGCGAAGGCGGCUACCUGGCCUAAUACUGACACUGAGGCACGAAAGCGUGGGGAGCAAACAGGAUUAGAUACCCUGGUAGUCCACGCUGUAAACGAUGUCAACUAGCUGUUGGUUAUAUAAAAAUAAUUAGUGGCGC